AUUGAACGCUGGCGGUAUGCUUAACACAUGCAAGUCGAACGAUGAGAAAGAGCUUGCUCUUUCGAUUAGUGGCGGACGGGUGCGUAACGCGUAGGAAUCUACCUAUUAGUGGGGGACAACUUAGGGAAACUUAAGCUAAUACCGCAUACGCCCUACGGGGGAAAGAAGGGGAUCGCAAGACCUUUUGCUAAUAGAUGAGCCUGCGUAGGAUUAGCUAGUUGGUGAGGUAAAAGCUCACCAAGGCGACGAUCCUUAACUGGUUUGAGAGAAUGAUCAGUCACACUGGAACUGAGACACGGUACAGACUCCUACGGGAGGCAGCAGUGGGGAAUAUUGGACAAUGGGAGAAAGCCUGAUCCAGCAAUACCGCGUGUGUGAAGAAGGCCUUAGGGUUGUAAAGCACUUUCAAUUGGAAGGAAAACCUCGAAGCUAAUACCUUCGAGUUUGACAUUACCUUUAGAAGAAGCACCGGCUAACUCCGUGCCAGCAGCCGCCGUAA
RNAcentral lists this ribosomal RNA (499 nucleotides) under uncultured bacterium. Its description in RNAcentral is "partial 16S ribosomal RNA". It matches the Rfam family "Bacterial small subunit ribosomal RNA", at positions 30 to 523 of the family's 1533-position model. The record is from RNAcentral.